RNAcentral lists this long non-coding RNA (426 nucleotides) under Salvator merianae (Argentine black and white tegu). RNAcentral describes it as "lncRNA (ENSSMRG00000007389.1)". The record is from RNAcentral. Lineage: Eukaryota; Metazoa; Chordata; Lepidosauria; Squamata; Teiidae.
UGAACUAUUCUUUUUCUUCUCUUUCCAUCUUUUCCCAGUUCUCUGCACUUGAAAGUCAUGAGUAUUUUUUGGUGCCCAACAUCUCAUGGCAACAAGUUACUGCAUUCAGGAGCUCAGUUCUUAUAGUGGAUCUGGUUGGAGUAUGAAAUCUUUGGCCUAAGUGGAGACAUUUUGGCUUGAAAUUUAUUUGGAAGCUCAGUUCUGAAUCUUGGAGAUCAACAAAGAUUUAAGUGCUUCGUUGCAAGACAUGUGAGCGGAACAAGUUAUCCGGACCAGCAGCAGAUGAAUCUGCCUUCUGGAGUGCAUGAUUGGACAAGGAAGGAGACCAUAGCACCUUCAGCCCCUCCAGAAUCCAACCAGCCUGCACCCUGACCCCUUCUUACCUGGGUAAGUAGAACUCUUCUGCUUAUGGGAUUGGAAUCUGCU